This 74-nucleotide transfer RNA is filed under the name Pteropus alecto (black flying fox). It matches the Rfam family "tRNA". Rfam says of the family: Transfer RNA (tRNA) molecules are approximately 80 nucleotides in length. The record is from Rfam by way of RNAcentral. Lineage: Eukaryota; Metazoa; Chordata; Mammalia; Chiroptera; Pteropodidae.
GGCUCCAUAGUGUAGUGGUUAGCACGUCUGCUUUACAUGCAGAAGGUUCUGGGUUCGUGCCACAGGUGGAGCCA